CACGGGGGUUGCGAGCGUUGUCCGGAAUUACUGGGCGUAAAGGGGGCGUAGGCGGUAAAAGAAGUCAUCUGUGAAAACCUAUUGCUCAACGAUAGGCUAGCGGAUGAAACUGAAUUACUUGAGGGCACCAGAGGUAGACGGAAUUACCCGAGUAGGGGUGAAAUCCGCAGAUACGGGUAGGAACGCCGGUGGAGAAGUCGGUCUACUGGGGUGCACCAGACGCUGAGGCCCGAAAGCUAGGGGAGCAAACCGGAUUAGAUACCCGGGUAGUCCUAGCCGUAAACGAUGCUCACUAGGUGUAGGGAGUGAUAAACUCUCUGUGCUGAAGCGAACGCGCUAAGUGAGCCGCCUGGGGAGUACGUCCGCAAGGAUGAA
This 375-nucleotide ribosomal RNA is filed under the name uncultured bacterium. RNAcentral describes it as "bacterial SSU rRNA". It matches the Rfam family "Bacterial small subunit ribosomal RNA", at positions 524 to 898 of the family's 1533-position model. The record is from RNAcentral.